UGGGGAAUAUUGGACAAUGGGCGAAAGCCUGAUCCAGCCAUGCCGCGUGUGUGAAGAAGGUCUUCGGAUUGUAAAGCACUUUAAGUUGGGAGGAAGGGUUGUAGAUUAAUACUCUGCAAUUUUGACGUUACCGACAGAAUAAGCACCGGCUAACUCUGUGCCAGCAGCCGCGGUAAUACAGAGGGUGCAAGCGUUAAUCGGAAUUACUGGGCGUAAAGCGCGCGUAGGUGGUUAGUUAAGUUGGAUGUGAAAUCCCCGGGCUCAACCUGGGAACUGCAUUCAAAACUGACUGACUAGAGUAUGGUANAGGGUGUGGAAUUUCCUGUGUAGCGGUGAAAUGCGUAGAUAUAGGAAGGAACACCAGUGGCGAAGGCGACCACCUGGACUGAUACUGACACUGAGGUGCGAAAGCGUGGGGAGCAAACAGGAUUAGAUACCCACGUAGUCCCUGAGCGGGCUGGCAAGGCGCAU
RNAcentral lists this ribosomal RNA (471 nucleotides) under uncultured bacterium. RNAcentral describes it as "bacterial SSU rRNA". It matches the Rfam family "Bacterial small subunit ribosomal RNA", at positions 355 to 825 of the family's 1533-position model. The record is from RNAcentral.